Molecule: long non-coding RNA, 623 nt
Filed under: Homo sapiens (human)
Lineage: Eukaryota; Metazoa; Chordata; Mammalia; Primates; Hominidae
Description: HSALNT0371888
Source: RNAcentral
GGCAGAUCUCGAACUGCUGAGCUCAAGCGAUCCUCCCGCCUCCCCUCCCGAAGUGCUAGGAUUCCAGGUGUGGCCACCGCGCCCACCACUUCCUUGCCUCCUCUCCCAAGCUUGCCCUCCUGUCUCCUGCUUUCCCUUAGACAAACUCAUAUGAUCCUGGGCCCGCGCAGAUAAUCUGGCAUAAUCUCAAAAUCCUUAAUCCCAUCUCUGGGGCCACAAUUCAACCAACUACAAGCUUGAAUUUGGGGAAUGAGCCAUGGAGGUGUUGGGGAGAGCGUGUUCCUGGCAGUGCAAGAGCCAGGAGGCAGGAGACAGCCGUCUGCAGCAGCCCCACUCCCGCCCUCCAGGGGCUGUGCCUUCUCCUACAGAAGUACCAGGAGGAUCACGGCGCCCACAGCCUGGCAGCUGCUCCACCACACCUUCUCACUCGGUGCCGAGUGCAGCUGUUCCUGUCUGAGGAGGCUCAGUUUGGAAGCAGCCCCUCUUGGGACUCAGAAAUCAAGGUCUCCGCCUUCCCCUUCCUCGAGAACACCAACCUCUCAAUGAACUUUCACUUCUUACUGCGGUUAGCAGUUUUUAGCAAGUUAUUUUUAUCUAAUAAAAACAAUAUAUAGUUUUAAAAA